RNAcentral lists this ribosomal RNA (497 nucleotides) under uncultured bacterium. Its description in RNAcentral is "partial 16S ribosomal RNA". It matches the Rfam family "Bacterial small subunit ribosomal RNA", at positions 28 to 507 of the family's 1533-position model. The record is from RNAcentral.
GAUGAACGCUGGCGGCGUGCCUAAUACAUGCAAGUCGAGCGAACAGACGAGGAGCUUGCUCCUCUGACGUUAGCGGCGGACGGGUGAGUAACACGUGGAUAACCUACCUAUAAGACUGGGAUAACUUCGGGAAACCGGAGCUAAUACCGGAUAAUAUAUUGAACCGCAUGGUUCAAUAGUGAAAGACGGUUUUGCUGUCACUUAUAGAUGGAUCCGCGCCGCAUUAGCUAGUUGGUAAGGUAACGGCUUACCAAGGCAACGAUGCGUAGCCGACCUGAGAGGGUGAUCGGCCACACUGGAACUGAGACACGGUCCAGACUCCUACGGGAGGCAGCAGUAGGGAAGCUUCCGCAAUGGGCGAAAGCCUGACGGAGCAACGCCGCGUGAGUGAUGAAGGUCUGCGGAUCGUAAAACUCUGUUAUUAGGGAAGAACAAAUGUGUAAGUAACUAUGCACGUCUUGACGGUACCUAAUCAGAAAGCCACGGCUAACUACGUG